Molecule: ribosomal RNA, 229 nt
Filed under: uncultured bacterium
Lineage: Bacteria
Description: partial 16S ribosomal RNA
Rfam family: Bacterial small subunit ribosomal RNA
Source: RNAcentral
CGCCGUUCAGCGGGAUAACCCGGAGAAAUCCGGCCUAAUACCGCAUGUGGCCGAGGGGAGGCAUCUUCUUUCGGCCAAAGGAGGCGACUCCGGAGACGGAUGGGCAUGCGUGACAUUAGCUAGUUGGCGGGGUAACGGCCCACCAAGGCGACGAUGUCUAGGGGUUCUGAGAGGAAGGUCCCCCACACUGGUACUGAGACACGGACCAGACUCCUACGGGAGGCAGCAG